GAUGAACGCUGGCGGCGUGCCUAAUACAUGCCAGUCGAGCGAACGGACGAGAAGCUUGCUUCUCUGAUGUUAGCGGCGGACGGGUGAGUAACACGUGGAUAACCUACCUAUAAGACUGGGAUAACUUCGGGAAACCGGGGCUAAUACCGGAUGAUAUUUUGAACCGCAUGGUUCAAAAGUGAAAGACGGUCUUGCUGUCACUUAUAGAUGGAUCCGCGCUGCAUUAGCUAGUUGGUAAGGUAACGGCUUACCAAGGCAACGAUGCAUAGCCGACCUGAGAGGGUGAUCGGCGACACUGGAACUGAGACACGGUCCAGACUCCUACGGGAGGCAGCAGUAGGGACUCUUCCGCAAUGGGCGAAAGCCUGACGGAGCAACGCCGCGUGAGUGAUGAAGGUCUUCGGGUCGUAAAACUCUGUUAUUAGGGAAGAACAUAUGUGUAAGUAACUGUGCACAUCUUGACGGUACCUAAUCAGAAAGCCACGGCUAACUCCGUG
This 497-nucleotide ribosomal RNA is filed under the name uncultured bacterium. Its description in RNAcentral is "partial 16S ribosomal RNA". It matches the Rfam family "Bacterial small subunit ribosomal RNA", at positions 28 to 507 of the family's 1533-position model. The record is from RNAcentral.